RNAcentral lists this long non-coding RNA (824 nucleotides) under Homo sapiens (human). RNAcentral describes it as "non-protein coding lnc-DNTT-1:1". Lineage: Eukaryota; Metazoa; Chordata; Mammalia; Primates; Hominidae. The record is from RNAcentral.
GCAAAUGGAUGUAUGCAUGUGUAUAUUCAUAAACUCAUGUUUCAGGGUCCAAAAUCCCUCACCUUUCCUUAUGUAUACAGAGAAAAUGUGAGCUUUGUUAUUUUGUCUAUAGAAGAGCUGAUUUACUUUCUUCUUGCUGGGAUGUGGGAAAAGAACUAAAGCUUAGUUCCAUCUUGCCAUUUCAGUCCAAUCCAAUAGUUUUAACUGUCCCAUCAGAUAAUUCAGUUUUCUCUGCUUUGAUAACUUCAGGAAAUGUAAUAUCUUUCAAAGUUCUGUCCCUUCCCUUCAAGGUGGUAUCCGGGUACAUGGGAGACGCAUGUGGCUAUUUGUCUUUGUGGCAUUGUAGAACACUGUCUCAUGGGUUGGCUGGUGAAGUGGAGCUGGUACUCAACAGGGAGGAAAUACCUUCCAAUGCCCUGCUUUCUGCCAUCUGGCAAGGGCUUGGUGGUGCAAGUUUGAGUUGUAGCAAGAAGGUGGCCAUCUGCAAACCAGAGCUAGUGCCCUCACCAGGAAACUUUUCAGCUGGCACCUUGAUGUUGGAUUUCCCAGAAUCUGGUAAGUAGCAGGUGGUUCAGGCUUGUGUAGCUCCUGAGGCACCAAUACUUCCAGUUGCAUUCAAAAGGGUGCUGUAGGUGUUUGGAAAGCUCUCCAUUGAAACGUCCAAGCUUCCAGCAAGGACCCGCUGAUUUAUUAUAGACACAGCAAUGAAUACAUACAAGGCGGCUGAGGCAGGCACUCAGGGAGAUGAUGGGAGGUAAGUUUCUUCUGUUGGCAGGACAGCUGAAGAGGCAGCUACAUGCCCCAGAUGCCUGCUGCCAGGGACC